Molecule: ribosomal RNA, 101 nt
Filed under: uncultured bacterium
Lineage: Bacteria
Description: partial 16S ribosomal RNA
Rfam family: Bacterial small subunit ribosomal RNA
Source: RNAcentral
CAACGCCGCGUGGGUGAUGAAGGCUUUCGGGUCGUAAAGCCCUUUUCUGUGGGACGAAAAUCUGACGGUACCGCAGGAAGAAGCCACGGCUAACUACGUGC